Daphnia carinata is the source of this 834-nucleotide long non-coding RNA. RefSeq lists it as uncharacterized. NCBI's taxonomy places the organism in Eukaryota, Metazoa, Arthropoda, Branchiopoda, Diplostraca, Daphniidae. The transcript has 4 exons. The record is from RefSeq and is a predicted model, not a curated record.
UAUCUAUUAUGCUAUGUCACUAAUUACUAUAGGGAAAAUAAUAACUGAAGUUGAUUGAGAUCUAUCUGAUUCUCCUGAUAUCCAUCUCAACAGGUUUUUUUAUGCUUUUCAACAUCCAUUUCAUAGUGGUACAUGUGGCUUUGAUUAAUAUUACCGUAAAGACUGUUGAAAAUGGGUGUGGUACAGAAACCCAGAAAUGGCAUGAGUUCAACAUCAAACAUGGAUUAGAAUUUUGGCCGGGGAUCAAGUCAAGUCUGGAAGUGUUACAGGAUGGAAGAGUCAGCUUGUAGUUGAAAAAAAACACUGAGAGUACAUUACCGUUAAGGUAUGAGGUAAAGUAAUAGGGUAAUGCAAAUUGUCUAAUGAGAAGUAUCAUCUUGUGUUAAUGAAUCUGGUACAACAACAAUCCUUUAUAGUUCUGUCCCAGCUAAAAGCCUCAAAUAAUCUGCUUGUCUGGCUAAAGAACAACUUGUCCUUUACAUUCAGAGUGUUGGUCAAACUGGGUACUUAAAGGGCCCUAAAGAUGUUUCACUUCACUGCCAUUGCAUCGAUGCACAUCAUACAUGGACUUUUUAGAAAGGAUUUUCAUAUACUGGGAACACAACUAUCAACAAUGCAACAUUCUACAGGUGCUAGUUUAUCAUUCAAGAGCCUUAUACAAUGAUGUUCAUCUGCAAUUUGUAUGUCAUUUCCCAAGCUUCCACCAGAAGUUGAAUGUGUUAAUAGUAACAUUGGAUCUGAAAAGAUUCUUGGUUGGGGCAAGACACUGAAUAAAUUGUAAUGAUUGGAUGGAUGACAUGACAUUUCUAAACUUCAUUCGGAUUCCCGAGACGG